GCAGAGAACCACACACACACACCUGAGACGCCCCCGCCCGCCCGCCCCAGAGCAGAGAGCUGUCCUAGACGGCUUCGGCCCGUGUUGACCGGGAUAGACCCCUCGAAGGCGAGGAAGGCUACCGGACCUGGAGAGACCGCGCGCUCAGGAGAGGCAACCCCCUUUUCUUGGCUACCGGAAGAAUCACUUGCUAUAUAAGGACCUUGGACAAAGAGUGAGACCCUAGUCCGGAACGACAGGAUUGAGGGCCCUUGUAUUGUUGGUCCAUGAUCUCUUUCCAAAAUUAGCAACCCCAUCUUUGUCACCAAGUAGGUAAGGACCAUCAGUCCCCACAACCUGUCCCUGACUA
This 349-nucleotide long non-coding RNA is filed under the name Phascolarctos cinereus (koala). Its description in RNAcentral is "lncRNA (ENSPCIG00000034253.1)". Lineage: Eukaryota; Metazoa; Chordata; Mammalia; Diprotodontia; Phascolarctidae. The record is from RNAcentral.